RNAcentral lists this ribosomal RNA (471 nucleotides) under Nonomuraea sp. PC4027. RNAcentral's name for it is "bacterial SSU rRNA". It matches the Rfam family "Bacterial small subunit ribosomal RNA", at positions 63 to 555 of the family's 1533-position model. Lineage: Bacteria; Bacillati; Actinomycetota; Actinomycetes; Streptosporangiales; Streptosporangiaceae. The record is from RNAcentral.
CGAGCGGAAGGCCCUUCGGGGUACUCGAGCGGCGAACGGGUGAGUAACACGUGAGCAACCUGCCCCUGACUCUGGGAUAAGCCCGGGAAACUGGGUCUAAUACCGGAUAUGACCGCCCCUGGCAUCGGGUGGUGGUGGAAAGUUUUUUCGGUUGGGGAUGGGCUCGCGGCCUAUCAGCUUGUUGGUGGGGUAGUGGCCUACCAAGGCGACAACGGGUAGCCGGCCUGAGAGGGCGACCGGCCACACUGGGACUGAGACACGGCCCAAACUCCUACGGGAGGCAGCAGUGGGGAAUAUUGCGCAAUGGGCGGAAGCCUGACGCAGCGACGCCGCGUGGGGGAUGACGGCCUUCGGGUUGUAAACCUCUUUCAGCAGGGACAAAGUUGACGUGUACCUGCAAAAAAAGCGCCGGCUAACUACGUGCCAGCAGCCGCGGUAAUACGUAGGGCGCAAGCGUUGUCCGGAAUUAUU